This 292-nucleotide ribosomal RNA is filed under the name Anaerotignum lactatifermentans. Its description in RNAcentral is "partial 23S ribosomal RNA". It matches the Rfam family "Bacterial large subunit ribosomal RNA", at positions 1 to 291 of the family's 2925-position model. The record is from RNAcentral. Lineage: Bacteria; Bacillati; Bacillota; Clostridia; Lachnospirales; Anaerotignaceae.
UGAGAAGAUAUGCAGGGCGCACGGCGGAUGCCUUGGCACGGGAAGCCGACGAAGGACGCGGCAAGCUGCGAUAAUCCGCGGUUAGGGGCACACACCCUUCGACCCGCGGGUCUCCGAAUGGGCGAACCCGCCAGGAGAGGUCCUGGCAUCCCCCUUGGGAACACAUACCUUGGGGGAGGACAACCCGGGGAACUGAAACAUCUAAGUACCCGGAGGAGAAGAAAUCAACUGCGAGAUCCCCCGAGUAGCGGCGAGCGAAAGGGGGCCUAGGCCAAACCGGCGAGGGAAUACG